UUGCAGUGGAGCUUGUUUCCAAUCCUUCCAUAAUAUUCAUGGAUGAACCUACUUCAGGGUUGGAUGCUAGAGCAGCAGCAAUUGUCAUGCGGGCGGUGAAGAAUGUUUCUGCAACAGGAAGAACAGUGGUCUGCACGAUCCACCAGCCAAGUAUUGAUGUUUUUGAGUCAUUUGACGAGGUAUCAAUAUAUACGUUGCUCCUAGAAUCUGGUAAUUUUAAAUCCAUGAUUCAAGAUGAAAAUGGCGGCAGUUAAUUUAAACAGUAGCCUAUCACAAGUAGCCUUUCUAAUUUUUUUUGCCCAAACGGUCCCGCCAUGAUUGGGAACAUGAACGUCAGAUAAAGUAUAUGGCCCUACUUGGCCAGUUAUCAAUUAGUGUUGAGUUAGAUAUCCCAAUACUUUAGAAUGGUUCCAGAGCACCUUGCUCUAUCUCUCUAUGGUGCAUACCCUAUUUAUAUUGCCUCCUUGCCCAAACAUUAAAGAGCAUGGCAAGAUGUGAGAGGAAAUGGUACAACAUCCCAACAAUGUUUAAAAACUUAUUUAGAGAAGGGGUCCAUCUCAACGAAAUUAGCAUAUGAAAAUUUUGACCUGAAUGACACCAUACUUAGAAUAGAAAAUUACAACUGAUAUGAAAAGUGGACCUCAAAAACCAUACAUAGGUUUCUCAUACUAAAUAGUGGAUGGGAUGGAGAACAGCAAGCCUAACUAAACGCAUGGUUCACUCUUCUUGCAGCUUAUCCUAAUGAAAAGAGGCGGGCAACUGAUCUACGCUGGACAAUUAGGACAGCAUUCAAGAAAAGUGAUUGAAUACUUUGAAGUAAGUUCAACUCAGCCAUUCUGAAUUCUUUAUCUGCAUCAACAAGAACAUAGAUAGGCUGGUGAUGUAAGGCUUUUAUGCACUGGCUUGUCCUUCGUGCUUAAAGUUUCACUUCCACUAAUCACAAAUAUAGGAUGGUGCCAUAACAGGUUGUAACAUACUUUCUACGAUGAUUACAAAUCCAGGCUUUCCUUAUAUACUAUUUUCUUUCUAGAAACAAUUUAAUUCUCAUGAAAGACAUUAAUAAAAGCUAAAACUGAAAAUUGUAGGAGAUUUACUUUAAAAUCCAGCUUCCUAUUUCGCAUGCUUAUAAAUAAUAUUUAAAAGAAAAAGAUUUGCAUGCCGUUGAAGCAAAGUUUCGUUGGCUAAGGUUUGUUAACUAUGGUGAUUGGGAAGAAAAGAGAACGAACAUUAGUCUAACAUGACUAAAAUUUAUGGGUGUUACUGUGAUGAAGAAAAGAACAAAGGAGAAAAAAAUCUGCUUUAUAAGUAUAUAUUCCAAAAUAGGUGACAAUCAUGUAAUAAGAAAACAAUCAGAUCAGUGACACUAUCAGCAUGAUUUGGAUGAACUAUGUAAUCCAGGAUACUAUUUAUCUAAUAGGUCGGAAAUCACUAUUCUCCAAAUGUCAGACAGUGGGUAGUCAAAAAAAAAAGGAGAAUAGUAUGAAAAUCAAAAGAGCAAGGACAUCUAAACUGAUAGGCUUUGACAGAUGAAACAAUGACACAUAGGUAAAGAUUCCAAGAGAAAACGAGAAGGAUCACAACAUAUAUGCAGCUUUAAAAAUCUGUGCUCUGACAUAUAAAAGCAAGAACAAUAAUAACUCCGACUGGAAUGGGAAAGCUGAGAAGAGCAAUGAAAUAUGGAUGUGUAUGGAAAAGAAUGCACAAUACUCUCUCUGAAUAUUUGUUGAUUAUAAAUUCUCACAGAAAAAAAUUGAAAUUUGGGGCUCCUGAAAACUACUGAUAAGUUGCCACAGGUACUUGGAUGCCGUAGAAAAUAAAUUAUCCGCUAUUUAAAUAAAAGCAUAAUUUUCACUACGCAUCUGUGAGAACUGUCUGCCCACGGUUUUUAAUACGGAUGAUGCAUGACAGGUUAAAUGUCCUAAAAUUCAUGAAACAUAAGAGAGAAUGGAGGCAAUAUAAAAUGUCAUCUUUCAGUAUGAGCACUAAAUUUCUGAAGAAAACAUAGAACACCGUCUGAGUUGAAAAUUCAAUUUCAACCAUCUGAAACGCGUGAUUUCAUGAAUUACUAUUGAUAUCAUCGUUCAGAUAGGGUUUAAUUUUUCGGAUUUUAUGUACGCAACUUUGUCCUUGCCAUUAUCUGUUCGAUAUUCAUCCCACCUGGCAUCUCUUAACACAUAUCCUCAUGGUAUUUCAUACAACAGGGUAUUUCAGGUGUGCCAAAGAUUAGAGACAAUUACAAUCCAGCAACAUGGAUGCUCGAAGUUACGUCAACAACUAUGGAGAUGAAACUUGGCAUAGACUUUUCACAGCUCUACAAAGAAUCGCCCAUAUACAAGUUAGAAAAAAAUUCCGGUCCAUAUAUACCAGUCAAUUAUUUUGUAUGUGCUUGAUACGAUAAAAUCAAAUAAUUUAUCUAGUAACGUUGAUGCCAAUAGAAAUAAACCGUAAGUCAAAAAGCCUCAAGGCCAAGCCUUAAAAAAUUGGCUAGGUUACGAUGGUUAUAAUUGAUAAUCUGAACCCUUCAAGGAUCAGCUGAACUCAAAACUAAGACUGGUCCUCUGCCAGAGCCAAUUCCCAUAAAUCGAAAGUCUAGGUGUCCCCUACUUCACUGAUACUAUUUCUUUUGAUGCUGCUGCUAACAGUUGUGGAAGGUACACCUUAGGAACGGAAAAGGACCUGCUACCUUGAACCUAGUAUUUUUCUGUUUAUACGACGGUUAUAAAGAGAUCACUGGCAGAAAGGGGAAUUAGCUCAGUCUACAGAGAUGAUUGUUGGGUGACAGUUGUCCUGAAAUAAUUUACUCCGAAGAUCUAUGAGAAACGAAACCACACUUGUGCCAAUUAUGAAAAAAUAUUCUCAAGUUGACUUGCAAGCUAGUAUUUUUGGAGUGCAACAGGCAAGUUCAGCACAUGUAAAUAACGUUUGAUUUUGUGCAGGAACAACUUAGACAUUGUUCAGCAACAUAGCACACCUCCACAGGGUUCUACGGAAUUGUACUUUCCAACAAUUUUCUCACAAAAUUUUUGGGGCCAAUUCAGAGCUUGCUUCUGGAAGCAAUGCUUAUCCUACUGGAGAAGCCCUCAAUACAACUGGGUGCGCCUAAUAUUCGUAGUUAUCUUAUCAGUAAUACUGGCAGCAGUUUUCUGGCAGAGUGGGAGAACAUUGUAAGUACUAAAUAAUUCUGCAUUUGAGCACAUUUCUGUUGAUAAAUUCAAUGAAAAGAAUAUAUACUGUGACAGCAGAGAAAAACGAAACUGAAACUCAAAUGUUUGUAUGUACAAUAGUAUCAUGAAUGCAGUAUUUAAUUCUUAGUGCAAUAAAUCCUAGGAAGGAUAAGAAUUACGCAGGGAUGAUUAAUUGAGCAUACCUUAAAGCAAUGAGAAGCAUUCUGUGAUCUUAAGCAUGCAGGGAUCCAACAAGAUAAUUGUCUGCGAAGAUCAAUAAAAUUACAUUAAAAUACUUUUACUCUCUGAUUUGAAAUCUUAGCAUCUUAUGCAUGAAAAAUAGAAAUAAAAGGCAAAAAUCAGAUUGCACUUCACGAAACCCAAUCCAAGAAUUCAUCAUCCAAAUUAUCAUUUAUACAGCUCAUGUUUGCAUUUAAAUUCCUGAUGUCAUGACUAAUACUUAAAAAUUUUUUUUGUGAAGAAACAACCAACAGGAUUUGUUCAACAUGCUUGGAUCAAUGUACCUUGCUGUGAUCUUUUUGGGAAUAAGAAACUGUUCAUCAGUUCUGCCAUUCAUAGCAAUUGAGCGAGAUGUCCUGUAUCGGGAAACAUUUGCAGGAAUGUACUCUUCAUGGGCAUAUGCCUUUGCACAGGUGCACCCACCUUUAAGAUAUAAAAUUUUCUCUCUUUGGGUUAUCCAUUGAAGACCACUGAUCCUUUCCUCGUAUCUUAACUACUACACUUCUCUUUUCAGAUGGCCAUUGAGAUCCCCUAUGUAUUUGUCCAAGCAGUACUGUUUAUGGGCAUUGCAUACCCAGGAAUUGGAUUCUACUGGUCUUCCUACAAAUUCUUUUGGUUCUUCUACACAAUGAUCUGCACACUACUUUACUUUAAUUAUCUGGGGAUGUUUCUUGUGUCAUUGACACCAAAUCUUCAAGUGACAUCUGUUCUAACAUCUCCAUUCUAUUCAAUGAUGCAUCUCUUCUCAGGUUUCAUUGUGCCUGGACCAGUAAGUGCUCCAUAAAAAAUUUAUAUUACCGUACUUUUCUGCUUCUACAUCUCAUUUUGUGAGACCCAAAGCUUCAUAUUCUUGGAAUCAGAUUGUGAGAUUACAUCACAUGUAAAGACUAAAGAAUUAUAAUGAUUUUAAGAGGAUACAGAAAGUGGAAAAUCUUUAAUAUGUUCUGUAUAAUAUCCAAGAGAGAAAGAAACCUAUCAAAUGAAACAGUUUUCAGAGAAAAUAAACGAAAUCUAAGAAUUAAUGAAAAAAAAUCAAAAUAAAUAUAUUUCUUCAUUCAAGUUUCAUUGUAUUACGAACUAUUAAUUUGACUCAUUCUUGUUACUAUCCUGCAGAAAAUUCCAAAGUGGUGGAUUUGGUUCUAUCACAUCGUCCCAACAUCCUGGACUCUCAAGGGACUCUUCAUUUCACAAUAUGGGGACAUAGACAAGGAGAUUACAGUGUUUGGAGAAUCAACAUCGAUUGCGUCCUUUAUAGAUGAUUACUAUGGUUUCCACCAAAACCAGCUGCCUCUUGUGGCUGUUCUCCUAAUUCUUUACCCUCUUAUCAUCGGUUCUCUGUUCUCGGUUUGUAUAGGGAGGGUAAAUUUCCAGAGGAGGUGAUUGGACACAGGAAGAGUUGCACACACAUCAUGUAUACUUCUAAUUCGUAGGAAAAUAUUCAUGAAUAUUCCACAACAGACUACUACAGAAAUGAAGACUAGCAUCAGAUGUUACCCAUCAGAGUCCCUAAAGGGCUAGUCCAAAUAAGGUGUGCCUGCGGCUGGACUUUCCCUGAGGUUGAUGCACUCUCACUUCCAACAAUCUCACUGAUAACUUCCUCCUGUUUAUCCGAUUGUACCAGAAGAAAAGUUAGAGUGUAUGAUAAACCUUGAGCUUUAAAAUUGAGUUUAGCAGCACUUUGCAUAGCUCAGAUCAUUUUUUCCUGAUUUUAAAGAGAAAAAGAGAAAACUUGAUUCGUAUCAGUACAGCUGUGAAAAAAAUGGGGCGAAUUCUGCAACCCAGUACGGCCUGGGCCAGAAAGAAAAGUAUGAGCUUUCCCAGUGCAUAUUUGUCGAGUUAAGGAUACAUGCAAACAUACAUGACGCAUGUACAUCCAUAUAUAUAUAUGCAUACACACACAGAUAUAUAUAUAUAUAAAUAUAUAUAAUAGAGAGAGAGAGUCCAUUCAGAUAUAUAAGAAGAAAACCAAGUGAAGAACUAGCAAGGAAAAGACAGUUUCUAGUGACUGCAGAUGAAUUCUGAGUUGGCAGAAGUUUUUAUCAAUCAGCAGGACAUUUAGCUUGCAUAAAAAACUAAAAACACUAUUAAAUUAUAGAGGAAUUAGAAUCCCUACAAAUCAGAUUGGCGACUGAUGUGCAUGCUGGCGGAUUGAGCAUGAAUAGAUUCUCAGUACAGCUGCAUCUGACAUGACCAAACAGACACACAAAUCUUCCACUUUACAAGAACCAUCUAUAAGCCAACAGGCUAUGCUUUUCAAGCAGAUCUAGCUAUAACAUGAACAACCUUUGAAAUUAGUGAAUAUGGUUGACUCACACUUCAUGCUUGACUACAACACAAAUGGCUGCAAGGACGAGGUAGAGGAUAAUGGUGUGGUAUCCUUGAAUAGGGAGAGGGAUGAAUGGCUGUACAAUAAUUCAGGACUAGUCCUAACAUUAACGCUCCUGAAUACUUAAGUGAACACAUGAGCAGACUAGGAUCUCUUUAUAGAAAUGUUUCUGCAAAUGGUACGCUCUAAUAAUCAAGCACUGUGAACGAAUUAUCAUCCCAGAGAAGACACAUGAUUUACAAGAGUUAGACUAAGAGGAGAAAACCUAAAAAAGAAAUUUAUCAAUGGAAACGUCUUCAAGAAUGGUAUCUUUUAACGAUAAAAAAUUAUCAACAGAUGACAACGCAUAUAAGAGGAGGGACAUGAUUUACACCGUUGCAAAUCAUGUGAGAUGUAAAUUAGAAAAGAAAACCUAUUUAUAGAAGUGUCUCCAAGAAUGGCAAUUUCAAACAUUCCAUAAUUAUGAAAUUACGUCCAUGAGAGAAGUUACAUGAUUUAGACUACCGAUACUUCAGGAAUAUGCCACCCAAGAUAUUUCCAAGAGCAAAUAUAAUGAAAAAAUAUCACACCCAUGAGAGAGGCAUAAUUUACAUUGUGUCUCGUGAGUGUUAUGCAGAACAAGUCUUCCAUAUCAUCAGGAUUUCCAUUUAUUUUUCUUUUCCUAUUUUAUUUUUAGAUGUAUUUUCUCUUUUUCGUGUUUCUGUUAUUAACCUUUCUGUAAAUACCGGAAAGGUUGUUAGAUGCCAAUAUAAAUAUUACUGCCCUGAGAAGGGUUAGGUCAGUUUUUCUUUUCUUGAAGCAUGGUAUCAGAGCUUUCUCUCUGAUCCUACAAGAAGACUGCCGACGGAAGAUCAACCAACCUAUGUCAAGGCAGUAUGACCACGUGAUUUUCUUUCUAUCUGCAGUACCUGAAACGUGAGGUUUCUUGGUCGUACGCAGACCGGCGGAUUCCUUGGAGAGUCAUACGUCAUCAUCGUUUUUAGAAGGUGGCAAGACAACUGCGAAUACAACAUUGUCAUUUUUCUGACAGUGGCAGACGUCUGUGAGUACACCAUUCUCAUUUCUUGAGGGUGGCAGUCAUUCUUAGUUUCUUGAACAGGAACUGUUAUUCGUACCACAUCAAGGAAUCUCUAUUUGAGAUUUUUUUCUUUGGCUAUUAUAGAACAUGGAGACAAAGGCCAGUGAAUCUUCCUCCUCUGGCCCAAGACAAUCAUUCGAAGUAAUUAAGGUAUGUUUAGACCUACCUAGAAUUGCUGAGAGAUUCUGAUUUGAUGGAAUCAAUUUGCUGCAAUAGACAUCGUAUGUGGAACUUAUUCUACGUGGGAGAAAUCUGGAUCAUCACUUGAUGCAAUCCUCACCAAGUAUUGACAACCCAGGAUAUUCUCGGUGGAAAGAAGAAGUACUUAUUCAAUAUUGGAUGCUGGACAAUAUUUCAUCAAAGAUAAGUGAUAGAUUUCUUUUUCUGAAAUUUGUGAGGGAAUUAUGAGACAAAAUUCGUCGCGGUCACUCUACUAAACAUGACGAAUCCCAAAUUUAUAGAUUGGUACAGAAAUCUCUAACUUUGGUAUAAGGAACAUUGACUGUUUUGGAAUAUGCUUGUGAAUUAGAAUCCAUAUGGAGAGAAAUCGACCACUACAGACCAAUCAAGAACCUUGAUGCUAAAGAAAGAAAUUACAUCAUGAAAGACAGGUUGUAUAAGUUUCUGAUGAGACUAAAUCUAGAGUAUGAGACUCUAGUAAAUCAGAUCCUUGCUCGAGAAGUAGUACCAGACAUUGAAGAAGCAAUUGCAUUAGCCAGACAAGAAGAAAAUACUAGAAGUUUGAGAAAUGAUUUAAAGAUAGAAAAUGUUGCGUUCAGUGCUCUCAAGAGUAAAGAUAACUCUAGAUUUAAAAAGGGGAAUGAGAAAGUACCAUUCAUCAAAAGAGAUCCCAAGACUGAUCCAAAGGCACACCUAUUCUGCACGUAUUGUCAGAAAAAUCGUCAUACUAGGGAAACAUGUUGGAAGAUCCAUGGCAAACUACCGAGCUAUGGUAAGUUGCAUUUGGCUAAUGCUCAAAAUGAAGAUGGUGUUAUCCCAAUGAUACAAGGAGGAAUUAGUCAAGAUGGAUUGACUUCCUCUCAGCCUUCAGAUAUUGGAAAACUUAGAGAAGAAAUUGAACAGCUGAGAAGCAUGAUCAGCUCCACUUCUCUCACACAUGCUAGUAAGCAUUUUCCUAAAUGUUUUCUAUUAUACUUAAAUACAUCAUCAUUAGCAUCACCAUCACCCUUGAAAGUAUCUUGGAUUAUUGAUUCUGGAGCUACUGAUCAUAUGACAUCAUACGCAUCACUAUUUAUAACAUAUGAGGUAUGUAUCAAUAAUUGAAAGGUUAUUACUGCAAGUGGAGAUUUAUUACCUGUAAUUGGCAUUGGAUCAAUUCAUCUUGAGAAAUUGGGGUUAUUAAGAUAUGUUCUUCAUGUACCAAGAUUGAAUACACAUCUAUUGUCAUUGAGAAAAUUGGGCAAAGACUUGAAUUGUGUAAUAUUAUUUGACAAUGAUUUAUGUUUCUUCUAUGGCAAGACCUCGGGCAAGAGGAUUGAGCAUGUUAGAGCAUAGGAUGGACUCUACUACACAAGGCGUAUGGACAGGCCAUUGUUGACGAAUUCUAGUUCAAAUAUUUCAACUUUUGUGUCUGCUUCUCCCUUGAACAAAUUGUUGUUGUUGCAUUGUCGUUUAGGACAUCCGUCCAUAAAAGUACUUUGAUACUUGUUUCCAAGAUUAUGUCGUGCAAUUGGUGAAUCUACUUUCGUAUGUGAACCCUAUCAAAUGGCUAAACAGCGACGUAUUUCAUUUCCCUCCUCUGGAAAUAAAAGUGAAUCCCCUUUUUACAGAAUACAUUCUGAUAUAUGGGGUCCUUCUUCAUCUGGUGGUAUUAAGGACUUCAGAUGGUUUAUCAUCUUUAUAGAUGAUUAUACUAUAUUCACAUGGAUUUACUUAAUGAAAACAAAAUUAGAAGCCAGCAAUGUUAUUCCAAGGUUUAUCAAGCUAAUUCAAAAUCAGUUCAGUAUAACCCCGAAGAGAUUUCGACCAGAUAAUGUUAAAGGUUUCUUCAAUUCUACUGUAUCUAAUUUCUUUACUAAGAAAGGUAUUGUUCAUGAAUCUUCUUGCCCAUAUACACCCCAGCAAAAUGGGGUAGCAGAAAGAAAGAUUGGGCAACUGCUGAGAAUAACAGGGGCUAUCAUGUUUAAAGCCUAAGUGCCGAAGUACUUAUGGAGUGAGGCAGUACUAAUUGCCACUCAUCUUGUUAAUCGUCUCCCAUUAGAAGCGCUAUUAUUUAAGACCCCCAAAGCCUUACUACAAGGCCAUUAUCUAACUGUGUAAUAUGGACUAGAUUUACCUCUUCGAGUGUUUGGGAGUAUUGCAUACAUCCACCAAUCUCAUAAUAGAUUGUCUAGGUUUGCUCCAAGAGUCAUAAAGGCUGUUUUUGUGGGCUAUUCCAAUACACAAAAAAGGUAUAAAUUUUAUGACCCAAGAUCUAGAAAAAUUAUUGUGACGAUUAAUGUCACAUUUGAUGAAAAUAAUAUGUAUUUUCAGCAGACAACAGCUCAAGAAUCUAGUUGUGGUAUUCCUAUGCUAGAAAAACAUGAUUUACAUAUUGAUAUUCUCAAGGAAAAUGAAGCUCCUAAAACAAUAUCAGCACCUCCACCACAUAUUGAGAUUAUCAAGGAGAAUGAAGAUCCUAAAACAAUAUCAGCACCGCCACUUACACCUCCCAAUCGAUUUGGUCGAAAUUAUUAUCAAAAAAAGUCAAAGACAACUAGAGGGAACCAUAAACAGGAUCUACAUGAUGCAGUAGAUGCCCAUGAUUCUACUAUUGAAUGUGACAAAUCAUUGAUUGACCAACAAUAUGAACAUGAUGUACUUGAUGUAGCAAAUGCCCAUGAACAGGAUCAACAAAACCUUCUUAUUACUCAAGGAGAUGAAAUCUGCCCUAUUGCUCUUCACAAAGGAGCUAGAGAAUGUACAAAGAAGAAGGUAUAUCCAUCAUGUAAUUAUGUGUCAUAUCAUUGUCUAUCUCCACAAUACAAGUCAUUUAUGUCAGCUAUUGAUAAACAUGAUAUCCCUCAAAAUAUUGAUGAAGCUUUAAGAAGCCUCCUAUGGAAAAAGGCAAUAGAUGAUGAGAUGUUAGUUUUUAUAGAAAAAUCAAACUUGGGAACUCAUGUUGCUUUCUAAAGGGAAGAAAACAGUGGGUUGUAAAUGGAUAUAUACUAUUAAGUAUAAAUCCGAUGGGACUGCCGAGCAUUUUAAAGCUCAGUUGGUGGCAAAAGGCUUCACCCAAUGUUAUGGUAUUGAUUAUAUGGAAACUUUUGCCCCAGUUGCGAAGAUGGGAACAGUUUGGAUAUUAAUAUCAUUAGCUGUGCAUUAUGGAUGGUCUUUGUUACAAUUUGAUGUGAAAAAUACAUUCUUGCAUGGAGAAAUCUCAGAAAAAAUAUAUAUGGAUCUCCCACCAAGGUACAAAAACCCAAAUGAUACUCUAAAAGUAUGCAAACUUAAGAAAGCAUUAUAUGGAUUAAAACAGUCACCAAGAGUUUGGUUUGGCCGCUUAACUAAAACAAUGCGAGCAUUGGGGUUCAAAUAAGCCAAUGGAGAUCAUACCUUAUUUUAUGAACGAUCAAGCUUAGGAAAAUGGCAAUCUUAUUAGUAUAUGUUGAUGACAUGAUUGUCACUAGAGAUGAUAUGUAAGAAAUCACUUCUCUUCAAAAACAAUUGACAGCUGUUUUUGAUAUCAAAGUGUUAGGACAACUAAAAUACUUCUUGGGAAUUGAGGUAGCCUACUCUCGUGAAAAUUUAUUUUUAUCUCAAAGAAAAUAUAUUACAGAUUUACUCAAACAUAUAGGCAUGAGUAACUGUAAACCAGCAAGUACACUAAUUGAAGCGAAGCGCUAUAUUAGGGCUUCAAAGGAGAGCGAUCAAAUAGACAAGGGAUCUUAUCAACGGCUAGUGGGAAAAUUAAUUUAUCUAUCCCAUACUAGACCAGAUAUUGCUUACUUAGUUGGAGUGCUCAGUCAAUAUAUGCAUGACCCUAGGGAAGUGUAUCAUCAAGCUACUCAACGAGUCUUAGCCUAUCUUAAAGGAACAAUUGGCAUGAGAAUCCUAUUUAAAAAAGAAGAUUCUCUUACAGUAGGCAUCUAUACUAAUGCUGAUUAUGCUGGUUCAAUUGAUGAUAGGCGCUCUACUAUUAGGUAUUAUUGUCUCAUUGGAGGAAAUUUGGUUACUUGGUGAAGCCAAAAAUAGAGAGUUGUAGCUCGUUCAAGUGCCGAAACAGAAUUUAGGGCUAUGGCUCUUGGGAUUUGUGAAGGCAUUUGGAUAAAGAGUAUACUAAAUGACUUACAAAUACCAAUAGAAGGUCCAAUUACCUUGUACUAUGACAAUCAGUUCGCAAUAAGUAUUGCGCAUGACCCUAUUCAGCAUAACAAGACCAAACACAUUGAAGUAGACAGACAUUUUAUUAAAGAGAAACUUGAAUCAAGAAUAUUUUGCACAAAGUAUGUCUCAUCUACAAGUCAAUUGGCUGAUAUAUUAACAAAGGGCAUUUCUGUAACAGAGUUCUGCAAACAAAGGAGCAAGCUGGGCAUGAAUGAUAUCCAUGCACCAGCUUGAGAGGGAGUGUUACGCAAAACAAGUCUUCCAUAUCAGGAUUUCCGUUUAUUUUUCUUUUCCUAUUUUAUUUUUAGAUGUAUUUUCUCUUUUUCAUGUUUCUGUUAUUAACCUUUCCAUAAAUACUGGAAAGGUUGUUAGACGCCAAUAUAAAUACUGGCGUACUGCCCUGAGAAGGUUUAGGUCAGUUUUUCUUUUCUUGCUUCCACUGUAUCUUGAAACAGUGAGCGACAUAAAACAAUGAAAGAAUUUUCAAUGAUUAAAAAUGCAGACGAUGCAAGACAAGCUAAACAAGGUGGUGAUCCAUUUCCCCUGUGGUUUCAGCAUGUGUGCUCGCCAUGAAUCAGCCCAGCCCGACAAGGGGGCACUUAGGCAGCUUCCGCCCUGCAUCCUCUGAAGUAGCCAUACUGUCAAGAAGGCACUGAUAGUUGAAUACAUGGCCACAGGGGGCACACGAGAACUCAUGUCCAACCUCAUAGUCGUCCCAACAUAUGGGGCGUUGCUCUUCUUCUUGGUACUUGCCUUCACCAGGCCCAUAAUUGACUGCCCUGAAUGCUGCCAUUACUUUCCCCAGUGAGUCCCGCCUGGUUACCAAGGCCCGGGCACAAGUUCCAGAGCUUGUUGGGUGCAGAAUAGCUCCAAGAGGUAAAAAGAGGAAUGCAUAGGAGCCUAUCAGCACAAGGAUAGAAAUUGUAAGUAGGCAAAGAAUCCCAGUGAUCUGCCAGCCGUUUAACUAUCCACUUAGGUAAGUGACCCAUUAAAUGAUAAGUGCCCAUCGGCCUUCCUGCAGCUGCAGAUCUCCCAUAUUACUGUAUGUGAAAUUCAUUUCCAUAAAAUAGAAAUGAAAGGUGGCUAUGGCAAGCUGCGCGGAAAACAACAGCAAGAGAAAAAGAUGGGAAUCGUAACCCAAGGGAAGGGAAGUUCAUAACUGUUAGCUUGUAGCAUUAUAAAAAGAUUGAGAGAGAGGCAUAGAGACACAGACAGAAAAAUAGAGAAAGGUUAUGCUGCCUAGCUUCACAGACUGUUCAUUUACUAAAUCAAGAAAAUGUUUAAAAUAAAGAGAGAGAGAGAGAGAGAGAGAGAGAGAGAGAGAGAGAGAGAGANNNNNNNNNNNNNNNNNNNNNNNNNNNNNNAGAGAGAGAGAGAGAAGCAAUUUACGUGAGCUCACAGAUCAAAUGUUGCAAUUAUUGAAGUUUAAAAAAAUAAAAAAAGAUUCGGGAUAUGUAAAGAACAAAUGGAUUAUUCAGUAACGUGUAAUUGCUGAGAAAGCAUGGAAGGAAGUGGCUAGACAUGAUUUGAUAAGGCUUUCCUUACAAUAUGACUUAAUACUCCACAGAAACUUGUGAAGAAAAUAUCUUACAUUAUCUUCUUUUUCCAUGUUACUCCUUAAAUCGAAGAUUUAUAUCAAUAUAUGCACUGCUCUCAGUAAAAUGUAUAGUUAUUUAAUCCAAAAGAAAUAAGUUUUAAAUUAUUCACUCAAUACGCAGGAAAAUUAGUUGAAAACUAUCCUUAUAGUCAUUAACAGUAAUGAAAUCAGUAUAAGAAUUGCUUAACAGCGCAUGUUCUGCAGAAGAAAACUGAACAGGACACUGAACAUAUGAAAUAGCCUUUCCCGUAGGGUAGUUUCACACUUGAAGCAAACCACUUGUAGACAAGAUAAAUAACCCUUCACAGGGAAUAAAAGAAAAUAUUUUUAAUUUCAGGAACAGAACUUUCUUAUGCUAGGAAGUUCAACAUGGGCUCGUCAUUUACCCAUUUUAUUUGGGUUAAUCUAUUUAAAAAGAAGCCAAAGCUACCUAUCGCCUUGAUAAGAAAAUUUAAAGAAGAAAGAUUCAAGAGGAUCCCAUGCACUGAAUAUUCAUAACUGGAGAUAUUUGGUGAGCCGAGACGGUGUGAAGAAGUAAAAACGAAAAGUGCUCCAUUGACUGAAACCCUGAAGCAAUUCACAACAAGAGAUCCUAUGCCACAUCGAUUUUCAAUCAAAUGAAACGAAUCUUACUUGGAAUAGACACAAGAAUUGAACCUGCCACGUCAAUUUAGCUUCUUAUCUUAUUAAACCUCAAUGCUUUCUGCUAUGGAGGGAUGAACCUUAAUGUCUCAUGAUGCAAAAAACUUUACUAAUAAUUACAAAGAUCAUCUUUCCUGAUAGGUCUGUUCUACAGUCCUUGUUAAUCCUGUCUGGUCGGCAAGCUAUAAUUCUACAAUGUAUCAUGAUCAUUAACAUCUUCAUCACUGCAGCUCAAAUAACCUGAAAUCCUCUGAGAAUCAUACGAUUUUCUGGAGCAUACUGGACGGACUUCAUUUAAAACAAGCAAUUAACAGUAACAGUUAAUGCUCUCGUAUCAGGAAGGGGACCAGAGAUGGGGGAGGAGCGAGAGAGAGAGAGAUGUUACAAAAGAAAAACUUUUCAGCAAGUAAAAUAAUUCGCCCACGGGGAAGAACAAGAAGGGAAAGAAUAAUCCACUCGGCCUCAAACAUCCACACAUAUUGGCGACCAAAAUAAAAGAAGACUCUCCGCAACCACGGACCUCCUCCAAGGGCUCCGCAAACAUCCUCCGAGGAUUCUGAUGGACUCGAGGCGUCGAAGAAGGCAAAGUAGAAAAUGAUGGGCCCAAUGAGAGAAGAAGCGCUCGAUGGCAAUAAAGCAAUCUCUCUGACGCGUGAGGCCAACCGAAAUAACGACCUCGCGAAGGUUCCAGAGCCUUCAGCCUGAGGGACAACCCACAGGAGGAGCCGAGCUAGAGUUUGUUGGGUGACAGAUCACAUCUCUCUCUCUCUCUCUCUCUCUCUCUCUCUCUCUCC
RNAcentral lists this long non-coding RNA (14167 nucleotides) under Spirodela polyrhiza (greater duckweed). RNAcentral's name for it is "long non-coding RNA (SPOL_LNC001889)". The record is from RNAcentral. Lineage: Eukaryota; Viridiplantae; Streptophyta; Magnoliopsida; Alismatales; Araceae.